GGCUUGUCCAAAGGUAGUGAGUUAUCUCGAUUGAUUGUUCACAGCCAGUUACAGAUUGAACUCCUUGUUCUACUCUUUCCCCUCUUCUCACUACUGCACUUGACUAGCCUAUA
Molecule: Y RNA, 113 nt
Filed under: Cebus imitator (Panamanian white-faced capuchin)
Lineage: Eukaryota; Metazoa; Chordata; Mammalia; Primates; Cebidae
Description: Y RNA (ENSCCAG00000001943.1)
Rfam family: Y RNA
About the family: Y RNAs are components of the Ro ribonucleoprotein particle (Ro RNP), in association with Ro60 and La proteins. The Y RNAs and Ro60 and La proteins are well conserved, but the function of the Ro RNP is not known.
Source: Rfam by way of RNAcentral